Molecule: long non-coding RNA, 359 nt
Organism: Carassius auratus (goldfish)
Lineage: Eukaryota; Metazoa; Chordata; Actinopteri; Cypriniformes; Cyprinidae
Exons: 4
Source: RefSeq, a predicted model, not a curated record
AACAUCUGGACAUCACUCAGCUCUGUCACACAUGUCCAGUGACUGCUUACAUCUCACUGAUAAUGCUGAUUGCUGCCGCUGGAUCUCUGUUGAUUGUAAUUUCACUCGUCAUCUGCUGCAUCUGCAAGAAAUAUAGAAAAACAGUCACGUCACAGGAAGAAGACACGACUGAUUUAGAAUUUUAUAACCCAGCAACACAAGACACGAAAUCAAAGACGGAUGGUUUGCGUGAAAAUGUCCCCAAAAAACAGUGUUUAGAUGUGAGGUUGUCUUAUUUUUAGAUCACCGGAAUUCAUGCUUUGAACAGACUGAAAAUAAAAUGUAAUAUACGUCUGAAAAUAAAGUUGGAUAUUCCAAUG